Molecule: ribosomal RNA, 464 nt
Filed under: uncultured bacterium
Lineage: Bacteria
Description: bacterial SSU rRNA
Rfam family: Bacterial small subunit ribosomal RNA
Source: RNAcentral
CCUACGGGAGGCAGCAGUGGGGAUCAUUGCACAAUGGGCGAAAGCCUGAUGCAGCCAUGCCGCGUGUGUGAAGAAGGCUCCUAGGGUUGUAAAGCACUUUCAGUGGGGAGGAAAAGCUCAAAAUUAAUACUUUUGAGCCCUGACGUUACCUGCAGAAGAAGCACCGGCUAACUCCGUGCCAGCAGCCGCGGUAAUACGGAGGGUGCGAGCGUUAAUCGGAAUUACUGGGCGUAAAGCGCGCGUAGGUGGUUUGAUAAGUUAGCUGUGAAAGCCCUGGGCUCAACCUGGGAACUGCAUUUAAAACUGUCGGUCUAGAGUAUGGUAGAGGGAGGUGGAAUUUCCUGUGUAGCAGUGAAAUGCGUAAAUGUUGGAAGGAACAUCAGUGGCGAAGGCGGCCACCUGGACUAUUACUGACACUGAGGUGCGAAUACCUGGGGAGAAAACAGGAUUAGAUACCCUGGUAG